GACGAACGCUGGCGGCGUGCUUAACACAUGCAAGUCGAACGGAAAGGCCCUGCUUUUGUGGGGUGCUCGAGUGGCGAACGGGUGAGUAACACGUGAGUAACCUGCCCUUGACUUUGGGAUAACUUCAGGAAACUGGGGCUAAUACCGGAUAGGAGCUCCUGCUGCAUGGUGGGGGUUGGAAAGUUUCGGCGGUUGGGGAUGGACUCGCGGCUUAUCAGCUUGUUGGUGGGGUAGUGGCUUACCAAGGCUUUGACGGGUAGCCGGCCUGAGAGGGUGACCGGCCACAUUGGGACUGAGAUACGGCCCAGACUCCUACGGGAGGCAGCAGUGGGGAAUAUUGCACAAUGGGCGGAAGCCUGAUGCAGCAACGCCGCGUGCGGGAUGACGGCCUUCGGGUUGUAAACCGCUUUCGCCUGUGACGAAGCGUGAGUGACGGUAAUGGGUAAAGAAGCACCGGCUAACUACGUGCCAGCAGCCGCGGUGAUACGUAGGGUGCGAGCGUUGUCCGGAUUUAUUGGGCGUAAAGGGCUCGUAGGUGGUUGAUCGCGUCGGAAGUGUAAUCUUGGGGCUUAACCCUGAGCGUGCUUUCGAUACGGGUUGACUUGAGGAAGGUAGGGGAGAAUGGAAUUCCUGGUGGAGCGGUGGAAUGCGCAGAUAUCAGGAGGAACACCAGUGGCGAAGGCGGUUCUCUGGGCCUUUCCUGACGCUGAGGAGCGAAAGCGUGGGGAGCGAACAGGCUUAGAUACCCUGGUAGUCCACGCUGUAAACGGUGGGUACUAGGUGUGGGGUCCAUUCCACGGGUUCCGUGCCGUAGCUAACGCUUUAAGUACCCCGCCUGGGGAGUACGGCCGCAAGGCUAAAACUCAAAGGAAUUGACGGGGCCCCGCACAAGCGGCGGAGCAUGCGGGUUAAUUCGAUGCAACGCGUAGAACCUUACCUGGGUUUGACAUGGAUCGGGAGUGCUCAGAGAUGGGUGUGCCUCUUUUGGGGUCGGUUCACAGGUGGUGCAUGGCUGUCGUCAGCUCGUGUCGUGAGAUGUUGGGUUAAGUCCCGCAACGAGCGCAACCCUUGUUCACUGUUGCCAGCACGUUAUGGUGGGGACUCAGUGGAGACCGCCGGGGUCAACUCGGAGGAAGGUGGGGAUGACGUCAAGUCAUCAUGCCCCUUAUGUCCAGGGCUUCACGCAUGCUACAAUGGCUGGUACAGAGAGUGGCGAGCCUGUGAGGGUGAGCGAAUCUCGGAAAGUCGGUCUCAGUUCGGAUUGGGGUCUGCAACUCGACCUCAUGAAGUCGGAGUCGCUAGUAAUCGCAGAUCAGCAACGCUGCGGUGAAUACGUUCCCGGGGCU
Molecule: ribosomal RNA, 1346 nt
Filed under: uncultured bacterium
Lineage: Bacteria
Description: partial 16S ribosomal RNA
Rfam family: Bacterial small subunit ribosomal RNA
Source: RNAcentral